This 826-nucleotide long non-coding RNA is filed under the name Rattus norvegicus (Norway rat). RNAcentral describes it as "long non-coding RNA NONRATT014230". Lineage: Eukaryota; Metazoa; Chordata; Mammalia; Rodentia; Muridae. The record is from RNAcentral.
CUCAUUAACCAUUUUUGUUGAGAAAGAAGCGUAUGCUUGGUGAAGAAAUCAGAACGUAAGAGAAUGUACCAUAGAGAAGGGCUCUCCUCUUCUCUGGCUUUUUAGUCUUUUUGAGUCAGGUUUACUGACCAGGUGCCUUUGGUGCCUAUCCAGCUGGCCUUCGGCAUAGGCCCUGCUGGGACUUCCUGAGGCGCGCCUCCCUUCAUCCUUUAAUACAGUCAUCAGCUCCACUGCAAGCUGUGUUUACAGGGAGUCUGCAAAAGAGUAGGGAGGGAAAGAGGAGCAAGCCUGAGAGACCAGUGCCUGCUGGCUCAUGGGCCGAGGGUGUGAUACAUGCUCAGUGAACCCAGCUAGGCUCUUCUAUGAUGUCAGUUUUGGUCUGUCUCUCUUACCCCCUUUUCUCUCCCUCUAUCUCACCUUUGUCUCCCGUCUUUGUUUUUUCUCUUCAUUCCUGUGCAUUUCUUUGUAUUUCAGCCCCCUGCCCCUGCCCCAACAAGUUCAUGCCUUCUUUCUUCUGCUUCUCUGGUCUUGCUUUCUUCCUCUGCUUGCAGUUUUUAUUCUGCCGUUAGUCAGGGCUUCUCUGGUUUUUUUACUUCAUGUAGUUCUAGACUCUAAGGGUACCUUAUUGCUUUAAGAUAUACUCAUUCUCUAGGUAUUCUGGGAAAGAUAGCUUACAGGCCAAGAUUGGAUCCAUUGUUUGGCUGUUGAGCAAGUCCUAAGAAGGAGAUAGACAGGGGCUGGGGAUUUAGCUCAGUGGUAGAGCGCUUGCCUAGCAAGCGCAAGGCCAUGGGUUCGGUCCCCAGCUCUGAAAAAAAAAAAAAAAAAA